UCUGAAUCGUUGAAAUUGUAGAUGAACUUUUUGAUUAUUAUACCACUGAAAAUUCAAUAGUGGUUAUUACCUACUUAGUGGUAUCACUAACUGUUUCAGAAGAGUUAUUCAAAAAAAGGGACGACAAAAAAUACCACUCGAUCCGUCCCUGGGGUAGCCGAGGAAUGCAUCUUCUCCCCAUACCACCAGUCGAACGGAGAAGCGAUUCAAGCAGCAGGUUUCGGUCCUAGUCGGUCAUUCAAGGUAGUAAGUUCACAGAUUCCCUCUGGCAGGUUGGUAUCUCGCCACACCUGCGUAUUCAUUCGCUUCGGCUAAGUCGGCUGGGGCACACUGAUUUGCGUCGUUUGUUUUCCACCUGUUGUCAGCGACGGGCUGUUUUGUGAUCACCUUUCGAAACUACCUGUGCUUCGAUCGUUGUGUUAUUUAUGUAGUGUUACGGUUUAGACACUGUGUUUAUUUUUGCCGACUCGGAAUUAGUUUUGAAUUCUCACCAUCAAAAUCGGAUAAGAGCUAAUUACGCAGAUAAAUCAAAUUCAUCCAA
Molecule: long non-coding RNA, 541 nt
Organism: Leptinotarsa decemlineata (Colorado potato beetle)
Lineage: Eukaryota; Metazoa; Arthropoda; Insecta; Coleoptera; Chrysomelidae
Source: RefSeq, a predicted model, not a curated record